AUGAUGUCGUCCACCCUUGCCGCGGGCACGAGCUGGCACCUGGCAGCCAACGAGUGCACACCGAGCGGCACGGUUGAGGUAGCUGAAGCCGAAUCGUAACCCUAAGUGCCAGGGCUGCUGCUGGCGCAACCAAUGGUGACGGAUCUAGAAAGAAAUAACAGUAGGAUCUGAACGAACUAGAUAGAGUUACAGUUCCCCUUCCAUCUAUAUAUGGUAAAAAAAUUUAGUGGGGUCUUCGUGGGGUCUUUCGUAGUCUUUACACCAGUAAUGGGGUCUCUCGUAUAUGGCUCAGCCAACCAUACAUACCUAAUGUACAAUUGGUCGCCACCGACGUCGGCCUCCGGGACCAAGGCGGUGAUGACGUUGCACGACUUCAACCGCCUAGCGCCACAAGAUCUACACCAUACCAACGAUAGCAUCGUGGCCACCCGAGCCAUCGACGAGUGCGACUCUCGGAACGACUGCAAUGUAGGGACUGGCUACCUGCUGCCAUGCGUGGCCCCAAUGCCAUUGCCGUGUCCCCGGACGUUUGGGACGCACUCGGCCUCGGCACCACCUGCACCAAGGACCGCAAGUAGAUCGUCACUUGGUUAA
RNAcentral lists this long non-coding RNA (594 nucleotides) under Oryza sativa aus subgroup. RNAcentral describes it as "lncRNA OsNaBo_04g0009220". Lineage: Eukaryota; Viridiplantae; Streptophyta; Magnoliopsida; Poales; Poaceae. The record is from RNAcentral.